GCAAGGCGUGGCAUACGGCUCAGUAACACGUAGUCAACAUGCCCAAGGGACGUGGAUAACCUCGGGAAACUGAGGAUAAACCGCGAUAGGCCAAGAUUUCUGGAAUGGAUCAUGGCUGAAAUCUAUAUGGCCCCUGGAUUGGACUGCGGCCGAUCAGGCUGUUGGUGAGGUAAUGGCCCACCAAACCUGUAACCGGUACGGGCUCUGAGAGGAGGAGCCCGGAGAUGGGCACUGAGACAAGGGCCCAGGCCCUAUGGGGCGCAGCAGGCGCGAAACCUCUGCAAUAGGCGAAAGCUUGACAGGGUUACUCUGAGUGAUUUCCGUUAAGGAGAUCUUUUGGUACCUCUAAAAAUGGUGCAGAAUAAGGGGUGGGCAAGUCUGGUGUCAGCCGCCGCGGUAAUACCAGCACCCCGAGUGGUCGGGACGUUUAUUGGGCCUAAAGCAUCCGUAGCCGGUUCUACAAGUCUUCCGUUAAAUCCACCUGCUUAACAGAUGGGCUGCGGAAGAUACUAUAGAGCUAGGAGGCGGGAGAGGCAAGCGGUACUCGAUGGGUAGGGGUAAAAUCCGUUGAUCCAUUGAAGACCACCAGUGGCGAAGGCGGCUUGCCAGAACGCGCUCGACGGUGAGGGAUGAAAGCUGGGGGAGCAAACCGGAUUAGAUACCCGGGUAGUCCCAGCUGUAAACGAUGCAGACUCGGUGAUGAGUUGGCUUAUUGCUAACUCAGUGCCG
RNAcentral lists this ribosomal RNA (729 nucleotides) under uncultured archaeon. RNAcentral's name for it is "bacterial SSU rRNA". It matches the Rfam family "Archaeal small subunit ribosomal RNA", at positions 71 to 803 of the family's 1478-position model. The record is from RNAcentral.